Molecule: ribosomal RNA, 253 nt
Filed under: uncultured prokaryote
Description: partial 16S ribosomal RNA
Rfam family: Bacterial small subunit ribosomal RNA
Source: RNAcentral
ACGUAGGAGGCGAGCGUUAUCCGGAUUUACUGGGCGUAGAGCGCGUGCAGGCGGGGCGAUAAGUCGUGCGUGAAAGCUCCCAGGCUUAACCGGGAGAGGACGUGCGAGACUGUGGUUCUGGAGGCAGGCAGAGGCAGGUGGAAUUCCGGGUGGAGUGGUGAAAUGCGUAGAGAUCCGGAGGAACCCCAGUGGCGAAGGCGACUCUCUGGUCCGAAACUGACGCUGAGUGUGCGAAAGCUAGGGGAGCAAACGG